This 917-nucleotide unclassified non-coding RNA is filed under the name Hevea brasiliensis (rubber tree). Lineage: Eukaryota; Viridiplantae; Streptophyta; Magnoliopsida; Malpighiales; Euphorbiaceae. The record is from RNAcentral.
GUUUUUACUGAUAUCCAACAAACAAAUUCCCUAUUAUUACCGAAAUUUCCAUCUCAGUUGCCUUUUUCAAUUCUCUUCUACGUCUCUCAAAAUCCAUCUCAAUUCCCCCCUUUUUUGAGCAAAGCAAAACCACUAAAAACAUCAGUUUUACACAACCAAUCACAGUCUAAAUGUAAGUUUUUACAACUAAGAUAGAACUGCAAUCACGUCUGAAGCCCUCAAGGCGAUGUAAUCAGAGCCAUCUUUGCCUUUGAACUCAUUCCCGGCGUACUUUGAGUACAUCACGUUGUUUCCCACUGCGAUAGAUAGCGGUUUCCUUUUGCCCUCCUCGUCCAAAGGACCAGGACCAACUGCGAUCACCGUUCCGAUGGAAGGCUUCUCUUUGGUUGCCUCUGUCAACAAUAAACCUCCUGCUGUUUUUUCCUCAGCCUCAGCUACCUUGAUCAAGACCCGGUCGUUUAGGGGCUGAAGAUCUUUCGCAUCAUCUGUCUCUAGGAUACCAACUAUAUCAUCUUCCUUGAGAAUAAGAUGCUUUGAACCAUUGAAUUCUAACUCAGUUCCAGCAUACUUGGAGUACACUACUUGAGCACCAGUCUUUACACUUGCUUCCACUUUGGUAUUUCCAAUUGUCUUGCCUUCUCCAACUGCAACGACCUCCCCUCCUUGGGGUUUCGACUGAGCUGUUGUUGGAAGUAAAAUCCCUCCAUCAGUCUUCUCUUCAGCUUCCUUUAACUUCACCAACACUCUAUCACCCAAUGGCUUGAUUGAAGUGUACUUUGGAGCAACCACAGUAGCAGCUCUGACGACCAAGCCAGUGAAGGAUCUGUUGGCCAAACCCCCGACUCUAACAUGGGCAACCGAAGGAGAGAAUUUCACGGCAGAAGGACGAAGGCCAUUGAAAGAAGGCAAAUUCCUCG